This 497-nucleotide ribosomal RNA is filed under the name uncultured bacterium. Its description in RNAcentral is "partial 16S ribosomal RNA". It matches the Rfam family "Bacterial small subunit ribosomal RNA", at positions 28 to 507 of the family's 1533-position model. The record is from RNAcentral.
GAUGAACGCUGGCGGCGUGCCUAAUACAUGCCAGUCGAGCGAACAGAUGAGGAGCUUGCUCCUCUGACGUUAGCGGCGGACGGGUGAGUAACACGUGGAUAACCUACCUAUAAGACUGGGAUAACUUCGGGAAACCGGAGCUAAUACCGGAUAAUAUAUUGAACCGCAUGGUUCAAUAGUGAAAGACGGUUUUGCUGUCACUUAUAGAUGGAUCCGCGCCGCAUUAGCUAGUUGGUAAGGUAACGGCUUACCAAGGCAACGAUGCGUAGCCGACCUGAGAGGGUGAUCGGCCACACUGGAACUGAGACACGGUCCAGACUCCUACGGGAGGCAGCAGUAGGGAAUCUUCCGCAAUGGGCGAAAGCCUGACGGAGCAACACCGCGUGAGUGAUGAAGGUCUUCGGAUCGUAAAACUCUGUUAUUAGGGAAGAACAAAUGUGUAAGUAACUAUGCACGUCUUGACGGUACCUAAUCAGAAAGCCACGGCUAACUACGUG